Bradysia coprophila is the source of this 169-nucleotide long non-coding RNA. The record is from RefSeq and is a predicted model, not a curated record. NCBI's taxonomy places the organism in Eukaryota, Metazoa, Arthropoda, Insecta, Diptera, Sciaridae.
AAGUUUGACAUUCGACCAUACCUUGUGUUGACGUUCAUUGGAGAAUAUAGGAAAUUCUUCCAAGAGCGAAAGUUUGCGACCAGAGCGAAACCAGGGCUGCAAUUCGCUCAAGGUGGGAUUUCCUAUUUCUCCCCGAGGUGAACACAACGUUUGCGUUUUGCGAAAAUCC